RNAcentral lists this ribosomal RNA (492 nucleotides) under uncultured bacterium. Its description in RNAcentral is "partial 16S ribosomal RNA". It matches the Rfam family "Bacterial small subunit ribosomal RNA", at positions 29 to 507 of the family's 1533-position model. The record is from RNAcentral.
AGUGAACGCUGGCGGUAGACCUAACACAUGCAAGUCGAACGGCAGCACAGUAAGAGCUUGCUCUUACGGGUGGCGAGUGGCGGACGGGUGAGGAAUACAUCGGAAUCUACUUUUUCGUGGGGGAUAACGUAGGGAAACUUACGCUAAUACCGCAUACGACCUACGGGUGAAAGCAGGGGAUCUUCGGACCUUGCGCGAUUGAAUGAGCCGAUGUCGGAUUAGCUAGUUGGCGGGGUAAAGGCCCACCAAGGCGACGAUCCGUAGCUGGUCUGAGAGGAUGAUCAGCCACACUGGAACUGAGACACGGUCCAGACUCCUACGGGAGGCAGCAGUGGGGAAUAUUGGACAAUGGGCGCAAGCCUGAUCCAGCCAUACCGCGUGGGUGAAGAAGGCCUUCGGGUUGUAAAGCCCUUUUGUUGGGAAAGAAAAGCAGCAGGUUAAUACCCCGCUGCUCUGACGGUACCCAAAGAAUAAGCACCGGCUAACUUCGUG